CGCUUUUUAGCUCAGUGGUCGAGCGUUGUCUUUGGAAGCCACAGGUCGGGGGUUCGAACCCACCAGGGCAC
This is a transfer RNA of Phytophthora infestans T30-4, 71 nucleotides long. It matches the Rfam family "tRNA". Rfam says of the family: Transfer RNA (tRNA) molecules are approximately 80 nucleotides in length. The record is from Rfam. Lineage: Eukaryota; Oomycota; Peronosporomycetes; Peronosporales; Peronosporaceae.